UACGUAGGGUGCGAGCGUUAAUCGGAAUUACUGGGCGUAAAGCGUGCGCAGGCGGCUUUGCAAGACAGAUGUGAAAUCCCCGGGCUCAACCUGGGAACUACAUUUGUGACUGCAAGGCUAGAGUACGGCAGAGGGGGAUGGAAUUCCGCGUGUAGCAGUGAAAUGCGUAGAUAUGCGGAGGAACACCAAUGGCGAAGGCAAUCCCCUGGGCCUGUACUGACGCUCAUGCACGAAAGCGUGGGGAGCAAACAGG
Molecule: ribosomal RNA, 253 nt
Filed under: uncultured bacterium
Lineage: Bacteria
Description: partial 16S ribosomal RNA
Rfam family: Bacterial small subunit ribosomal RNA
Source: RNAcentral